RNAcentral lists this long non-coding RNA (307 nucleotides) under Mytilus galloprovincialis (Mediterranean mussel). The record is from RNAcentral. Lineage: Eukaryota; Metazoa; Mollusca; Bivalvia; Mytilida; Mytilidae.
AACAUUUCCAGAAAUUUAUCAAUGUAAUAUAUGCUCAGAUAUUAUAAGCACAAAAUGAUGUUACACUUGUCAAAAAAAUACAUGACUUUUGAAAGGUGCAGGAAUCUAAUAUCUGUUCUAAAAAUAUAAAUGGUGUCAUUGUUUAACUCAUCUUGGAACAAUUGGAGUUAUCAUCCUUUGUCUAGAAUUGCUGUUAAAUCAACUACAAUCAAUGCAAUAUUUACUUUUACUUCCCACUGAUAAAUUGAAGAAAUCUAUACCCUCAGUGCUUUCAAGCACUUUAAUUUUUUUCCGUUUUGGAGGCCAA